CAAUAGCGUAUAUUUAAGUUGCUGCAGUUAAAAAGCUCGUAGUUGGAUUUCGGGUGGGAAUGGCCGGUCCGCCGUUUCGGUGUGCACUUGCUACGCCCACCUUGCUGCCGGGGACGUGCUCUUGAGUUCACGCUCGGGACACGGAGUCGGCGAGGUUACUUUGAGUAAAUUAGAGUGUUCAAAGCAGGCCUACGCUCUGAAUACAUUAGCAUGGAAUAACACGAUAGGACUCUGGCCUAUCUUGUUGGUCUGUAGGACCGGAGUAAUGAGUAAGAGGGACAGUCGGGGGCAUUCGUAUUUCAUUGUCAGAGGUGAAAUUCUUGGAUUUAUGAAAGACGAACUACUGCGAAAGCAUUUGCCAAGGAUGUUUUCAUUAA
RNAcentral lists this ribosomal RNA (377 nucleotides) under uncultured eukaryote. Its description in RNAcentral is "partial 18S ribosomal RNA". It matches the Rfam family "Eukaryotic small subunit ribosomal RNA", at positions 592 to 976 of the family's 1831-position model. The record is from RNAcentral.